Molecule: non-coding RNA, 381 nt
Organism: Janibacter indicus
Lineage: Bacteria; Bacillati; Actinomycetota; Actinomycetes; Micrococcales; Intrasporangiaceae
Rfam family: Bacterial RNase P class A
About the family: Ribonuclease P (RNase P) is a ubiquitous endoribonuclease, found in archaea, bacteria and eukarya as well as chloroplasts and mitochondria. Its best characterised activity is the generation of mature 5'-ends of tRNAs by cleaving the 5'-leader elements of precursor-tRNAs.
Source: Rfam
UGAGUCGGCCGGACGGCUGCGUCACCGCCUCGGCGGUGUCGAGGAAAGUCCGGGCUCCACAGGGCAGGGUGGUGGCCAACAGCCACCCGGGGUGACCCGCGGGACAGUGCCACAGAAAGCAGACCGCCUCGACGACCUCGGUCGUCGCGGUAAGGGUGAAACGGUGGUGCAAGAGACCACCAGCGAUCCGGGUGACCGGAUCGGCUCGGUAAACCCCACCCGGAGCAAGUCCAGACAGUGUGCGUCCGAGGGCGGCCCGCCCGAGCACACGGGUAGGACGCUGGAGGUCGUCGGCAACGGCGACCCGAGAUGGAUGGCCGUCACCCCGGUCCGGGCAACCGGCCCGGGGGACAGAACCCGGCUUACAGGCCGACUCAUCCC